GACGAACGCUGGCGGCGUGCUUAACACAUGCAAGUCGAGCGGAAAGGCCACUUCGGUGGUACUCGAGCGGCGAACGGGUGAGUAACACGUGUGUAAUCUGCCCCUGGCUUUGGGAUAGCCACCGGAAACGGUGAUUAAUACCGGAUACGACCACUUCUCGCAUGGGAUGGUGGUGGAAAGUUUUUUCGGCCAGGGAUGUGCUCGCGGCCUAUCAGCUUGAUGGUGAGGUAAUGGCUCACCGUGGGUUCGACGGGUAGCCGGCCUGAGAGGGUGACCGGUCACACUGGGACUGAGACACGGCCCAGACUCCUACGGGAGGCAGCAGUGGGGAAUAUUGGACAAUGGGCGGAAGCCUGAUCCAGCAACGCCGCGUGAGGGAUGACGGCCUUCGGGUUGUAAACCUCUUUCAGCAGGGACGAAGCGCAAGUGACGGUACCUGCAGAAGAAGCACCGGCCAACUACGUGCCAGCCGCCGCCGUAA
RNAcentral lists this ribosomal RNA (481 nucleotides) under uncultured bacterium. RNAcentral's name for it is "partial 16S ribosomal RNA". It matches the Rfam family "Bacterial small subunit ribosomal RNA", at positions 28 to 523 of the family's 1533-position model. The record is from RNAcentral.